This 440-nucleotide ribosomal RNA is filed under the name uncultured bacterium. RNAcentral describes it as "bacterial SSU rRNA". It matches the Rfam family "Bacterial small subunit ribosomal RNA", at positions 29 to 507 of the family's 1533-position model. The record is from RNAcentral.
AACGAACGCUGGCGGCAUGCCUAACACAUGCAAGUCGAACGCUAUCUUUUGAUAGAGUGGCGCACCGGGUGAGGUAAACGCGUGGGAACCUGCCUUUCACUGCGGGACAACGGUUGGAAACGACCGCUAAUACCGCAUACGCCCUACCGGGGGAAAGAGUUUUAUCGGUGAUAGAGGGGCCCGCGUCUGAUUAGCUUGUUGGUAGGGUAAUGGCCUACCAAGGCGACGAUCGGUAGCUGGUCUGAGAGGAUGAUCAGCCACACUGGGACUGAGACACGGCCCAGACUCCUACGGGAGGCAGCAGUGGGGAAUAUUGGACAAGUGGGGGCAACCCUGAUCCAGCAAUGCCGCGUGUGUGAUGAAGGCCUUAGGGUUGUAAAGCACUUUCACUGGUGAAGAUGAUGACGGUAACCAGAGAAGAAGCCCCGGCUAACUUCGUG